AGAACUGACAAAUGGUCAUGGCGACGGUGUCGCGAACGGAGCGGUCUUCACUUAGCACCCUCGGCGAGCAGAGCCCAGAGCAACCGGAGGUCCCGGCUCGUCUACUGUGAUGUCAUCUUCUUGCGCCUGGCAAAGUUGGCUUAAACUCAACAUUCAAACAACUAAGAUCAUGGCAUCUGGUCCCAUCACUUCAUGGCAAAUAGAUGGGGAAACAAUGGAAACAGUGACAGACUUUAUUUUGGGGGGCUCCAAAAUCACUGCAGAUGGUGACUAUAGCCAUGAAAUUAAAAGACGCUUCCUCCUUGGAAGAAAAGUUAUGACCAACCUAGACAGCAUAUUCAAAAGUAGAGAUAUUAAUUUGCUGACAAAGAUCUGUCUUAGUCAAAGCUAUGGUUUUUCCAUUAGUCAUGUGUGGAUGUGAGAGUUGGAUUAUAAAGAAAGCUGAGCGCCAAAGAAUUGAUGCUUUUGAACUGUGUUGUUGGAGAAGACUCUUGAGAGUCCCUUGGCCCGCAAGGAGAUCCAACCAGUCCAUCCUAAAGGAAAUCAGUCCUAAAUAUUAAUUGGAAGGACUAUGCUGAAGCUGAAACUCCAAUACUUUGGCCACCUGAUGGAAAGAACUGACUCAUUGGAAAAGACCCUGACAAAAAAAAAAAAAAAGACCCUGACGCUGGGAAAGAUUGAAGGGGGGAGAAGGGGACGACAGAGGAUGAGAUGGUUGGAUGGCAUCACUGACUGGAUGGAAAUGAGUUUGAGUAACCUCUGGGAGUUGGUGAUGGACAGGGAAGCCUGAUGUGCUGCAGUCCAUGGGGUUGUAAAGAGUUGGACACGAUUGAGUGACUGAACUGAACUAGGCAAGGUUCUAUGCUUAGCUGCUGAGAAGAUAUUAAAAUGAGAAAACUGGCAAGUCUAGAAAAAACACAGGUAGAAGGAUUUAAGUUUUGACAAAUCACCUAUGCAUGCAUCCCCACAUACUAUAGAGACACACCCAAGUAUAAAGUCCUAUCUUUCCCGGUCCCAGUCAACCUUUCUUGCCUCUGCUGUGAUACAUCACAUUCUAGACUUUUUUCAGGAUCAAGACUUUGUUUUUGCAAGCUUCUCUGAUUUCCUUUUUCUGAAUUCCUACCACACUAAAGUCUGGAGUUGACAACAGAGCACUUCAUUACAUCUUGCGUGAUUUUUCAGCUGUAGGACACUGCUGCAGGAAGUGAAAAGCUUCCGGAGUUGAUAGGAUGUAGUAUUUUUCUUCAAAUACCUUAAGGCAAAAUAUGAGCCUGAUAUUUUCCUUAAGGGAAAUGACUGAUUUUAUAUAAUCUGCAUUCUGAAAACACAUGAAUCCUCAAAUAACAGAAACACUACACAUGUAAAUUUUAAUAAGAUAACCAAAAUGCAGUAUGAAAGAAACUUUUUAAAAAUAAAGACUUGAGAAUUUUAUUUUGUAUCAUUUUGAGAGAAAAUCAAGCAAAACUAGGGGAGAAAGGAGGUUUCUGCCAGAUGCCACAGCAUUCCUAGACAGUUUCACGAAAAGUACACCUAUAUCUAAAUUCCUUUUUUAAAGGAAAUAGAAUCCAUUCAGGUAAUAUGUUGUAUGCUUUUUCUUUUUAUGAAAAAAUUUAACAAGAUAUAUUCAUACUUAAGAUUAAAUAUAUUCUUUUCUUUCUCUUUCUUUCUAUCUAAACUCUAUCAGUAAGUUUCCCUCGAGAAGUUCCAUGAAGCUUGCUGGACAAAUCCAUCCCAGAGGGAUCUCUUCUUUUCAGACCACUGCUGCUGUCAUUACCUAUUUUGUACUAAGAGUUAAUUCUGAGGAACCUUCUGACUCAUCUUAUUAAGACUUAUGUCCUAGGAGUGGGCCUGGUAAGACCUUUCUAUUGUUAGCAACCAGUUGAAAAAGUAUAUAAGGUCUUGAUAAGACUGAGUGGGACACUCUCUGCCUCCUUCUGAUGUCUGUGUCAGAAGCUUUCUCUGUCCCUUUUUCACUGUAAUAAACUCUGCUACACAAAAGCUCUGAGUGAUCAAGCCUUGUCUCUGGUUCCGAAGCUAAAUUUUCUUCUUCAGAGAUCACGAAUCUGACACGGUUCAGUGUAAGCUAUCAGUGUCACGACUUUAACUGGUUACGUUCAGUGGCUGCUUCACUGACCUCAGUCUCCAUCUUCUGUAACUGCUUCAAGGUUGUGUACACCUCACACACUUUGAGUUUGAGGGACAGGACUGUGAUAUAUAUCCUUCACAAUCCCCGCUGCUGCCCAACCCCAAACUUUCAAAUUCUGGUUAAACUGCACUUUACAACCAGCUGACUGUACAAUACGCUGUUGUACAACCUGUUGUUGUUUAUAACAGCUGAAGUUAAUUAUCUCUUAUACUGAUUACCGAUUUUCAAAGAAAAUCAUCACAAGAAACCUAUCUGAGCACGAUUUAAUCCUUCUAGAAUAAUAGUUCUUACUGUGCCUUGGGAUCAUCAUGUGAACAAUUACCAAAGGUAGCCAAUAGUAAAUUCCAAGUGACAUGAUAUAGUAAAAAUAGUGAUAAUUUCUUUCACUCCCAGGUGGUUUUCUUCAGCCUGACUCUUGGCCCACUAGCAUUGCAUUUAUGUACCCACUACCCUCUAGAUAAUUCCAGGAUGACUAGAAUCCUUCAAAACACCACAUAGAUUUAUCUUUCCUAGUCUCCUCAUCCUUUCCCACCCAGGGCCCUCAAUCAAAUGCCUACAACUUUUUUCUGUCUUCUCUCAGUCUUUCAAGGGGACUCAUCUGUUAAUUGGUAGUAAUUAUGGCUGACUGUGGCUUAUGAGAGUAAUUCUGAAGUCAUCCCUCCCAUGGUGAGUUGUAUUUUCACCAAGGUUUCUUGCAGACACAGUGAUUAAACACAAAAGGAAGUGAUCCCUGAAGUAGGGAACUUCAGGUACCACACCUGUGUGGGGUACAAGGGCUGUGAGGCAGACUUUAGAACAAAACUACAAAAGUGUGUUAUGGAGAUGCUUGAUAAGGAAAAAAAAGAGGCUAUCAAUAUUCCUAUUUUGGAAAACGUUUUAGGAAGGCACUCUACUGAGAAUUCACCUCAGAAUGUGUUCCAAUCUCUUCUGUCUGAACUUGAGAACUACCAAAGUGCCUGCAAACAAUCAGGUGUGAGAAAUGCCUAAUGUGCAUAAGCUGCAAAGAACACUGGUUUUACCACUGGUACCUAUUAUAGUGACAACUAAGAAUGCUUAAAGGAUACCCAUGUUGACCCAUCCUUGUAUUCCAGCAAUGUCAGUCCCUGGGGGAUAUAGCUAUGGUCCAACCCACCUGGGAUUACUGCUGUCCUUUGUGGAGAUUCUGUUCUGACAGAUGCUCCUGAUCAUUUCAGCAGCACUUACUCUUGGACUUCAGUACACUGCUUGUACAACACUCUGCUGGUGACAAACACCACUGAUGCCCUCUUACAAAAACCUCUCUAAUUUUUUAAUGUAACAACAUUUUCCUAUAAGGCUUAUACUUCUUUUACGCACAAGUCUUUUAAAAUCAUAUGCAACAUACAAUUGCCAGGUUCCACCUUGAUGAUAGUGUAGCACUGUCUCCGUACACGCUGGGCCAGACACUAAGCUCAGUGAUGAGUCUACUUCAGAGUUGUGAGCAGGAAAAGGUACUUAGAGGCAACUCUCUGGCGGCCCAGUGUUAGGACUCCAUUCUCUCAUUGCCGAGUGUCCUGGUAGGGGAACUAAAAGUCCCACAAGUGUGCGGUGAAGCCAAAAGAAAAAGAUACUCAGCAUAGACCUUUUGAAUCUGACGGCUCUGUAAAACAUGGCACCACUGGUUUUCUGCCUUUGCAACCGGGAAUGGUCCUCACUGUGUUGUUCUUACUCCUUGUCUGGUUUUAGCAGGGUAUAUGCAGAAUCCCUUUUUCUCUGGGGCAGCAUCUCUUAUUUCUCCACCAUGUGAAAGUGGUGAGCCAAGACCCCUACAAAGUUUUUAAGCCCUCAAAGCUUAUCAUUUCACUGACAGGAAUAGUCCAAAUAAUCUGGUCAAUUAAGUCAACUUUUAUUUUAGCAUCAGUAUUAUAAAACAUAUAAAAUAUGCUACAAUUUGAGAACACAAAUUCUAAGAACAGAGCACUGGAUUCAGACAAAUAAUUCUUCAGUAAUCAUUAAACACUUGAUAAACACAGGGACAGUGGG
Dama dama (fallow deer) is the source of this 4147-nucleotide long non-coding RNA. RefSeq lists it as uncharacterized. The transcript is spliced from 3 exons. Lineage: Eukaryota; Metazoa; Chordata; Mammalia; Artiodactyla; Cervidae. The record is from RefSeq and is a predicted model, not a curated record.